UACAGUCCAAUUUGUAAGUCGCUCUGGAUAAGAGCGUCUGCUAAAUGACUUAAA
Molecule: non-coding RNA, 54 nt
Organism: Salmo salar (Atlantic salmon)
Lineage: Eukaryota; Metazoa; Chordata; Actinopteri; Salmoniformes; Salmonidae
Source: Rfam